This 378-nucleotide long non-coding RNA is filed under the name Citrus maxima (pomelo). RNAcentral describes it as "long non-coding RNA (CMAX_LNC001884)". The record is from RNAcentral. Lineage: Eukaryota; Viridiplantae; Streptophyta; Magnoliopsida; Sapindales; Rutaceae.
GGAGUGCUCUGGAUAAUAAUGGUGCUGAGUCCCCCAAACCAAACAGAGAUGCUAAGGAUUCUGUAGAUAAUAAUGGGGCUGAGGCCCCCAAACCAAAUGGAGAUGCUAAAGCUUCUGAUGAAGGGAUGGAAGCUACUGAUCGAACAAAAGAAUCAGGUUUUGAUUCAAAACCCCAAUCUACCGUGUCCCAAUCUAAUAAAAGGAGGAGAAGAGUUGCUAAACAAACUGCAUUUUCUGAUUCAGAUUCAGAGAGUGAGAUUGAACUUUCAAGGGAUGAUUUGGUGAAACUUCUGAAGGAAAGAGAAGAGCUUCUCAUGGCAAAGAAUGAAGAGAUGAAGCAAAUGCAAGAUAAAGUUCUCCGUUCUUUUGCGGAAAUGG